Long non-coding RNA from Hypanus sabinus (Atlantic stingray), 3107 nucleotides. RefSeq lists it as uncharacterized. The record is from RefSeq and is a predicted model, not a curated record. Lineage: Eukaryota; Metazoa; Chordata; Chondrichthyes; Myliobatiformes; Dasyatidae. The transcript has 4 exons.
GUUUAUCUUACACAGAGAGAGGUGGAUGCCUGCAAUGUGCUGUUUGUACUGGUAAUGGAGGAAAUGGAACAUGCAUUAUUGCUUGUCUACAAGCUGAAUAACCGGCAUAUUGAGAGACUCUACACCUUGACAAAAGUCAAUGAAGAUUUCAAAGUGGAUCUGAAAUUAUUCGUCGCUCUUGGCUGUUUGAUGUCUAGAAUUCUGGAUAAAGAGCCAAUUGAUGAUGCAGUCAAACCAAACAUAAUCAUUACGAAGGAUCUCCUAGAGAAAGCUGAUUUCUAUGCCCUAAAAUGGAGAGUUUCUGAUGUUGGGAUUGGCAGUGAUCUUUGGAUUUUGCUGUCAUAUUUGUUCUAAGUGAAAUUUUCCAACCAAGUUUCACACAUGUCAUUUAUAAAAAUCACGAAGAGGAGAGGGUCACAGAAUAGAUCCCUGUGGACCACCACUGGUCACCAACAUCCAUGUAGAAUACGAACCAUCUACAACCACCCUUUGCCUUCUGUGGACAAGCCAAUUCUGGAUCUACAAAGCAAGGUCUCCUUGGGUCCCAUGCCUCCUUACUUUCUGAAGGUGCCUUGGAUGCCUUGUAUGGGGAACCAUAUCAAAUGCCUUACUGAAAUCCAUAUACACUCCAUCCACUGCUCUACCUUCAUUAAUGUGUUUUGUUACAUCCUCAAAGAAUUCAAUCAGGCUUGUAAUGCAUGACCUGCCCUUGACAAAGCCAUGCUGACUAUCCCUGAUCAGAUUAUGUCUCUCCAAAUGCUCAUAAAUCCUGUCUCUCAGGAUCUUCUCCAACAACAUGCCCACUACUGACGUCAGACUCAGUGGUCUACAAUUUCCCGAGUUAUCUCUACUCCCUUUCUUGAACAAGGAAACAACCUUUGCAAAUGCCCAAUCCUCCAGUACUUCUCCCAACUCUAUUGAAAAUCGCUGCAAGAGGCUCAGCAAUCUCCUCCCUCACUUCCCACUGUAGCCUGGGAUAUAUCUCAUCCAGUCCCGGUGAGUUAUCUAAGUUAAUGCUUUUCAAAAGCUCCAGCACAUCCUCUUUCUUAAUGUCUACAUGCUCAAGCAUUUCAGUCCACUAUAAGACAUCCCCACAAUUGCCAAGGUCUUUUUCCCUGGUGACGACUGAUGCAAAGUAUUCAUUAAGUACCUCCGCUACCUCCUCCGAUUCCAUGCACCCACUUCCACUGCCGCACCUGAUUAGUCCUAUUCUCACAUGGCUCAUCCAGUUGCUCUUUACAUACUUGUAGAAUGCCUUGGAAUUUUCCUUAAUCCUGCUCACCAACACCUUCUCAUGGCCCCUUCUGGCUCUCCUAAUUCCGUUCUAAAUCUCCUUUCUAGCAACCUUAUAACUUUCUCUCUACCUUUCUCUGUAACCUCUUCCAAUCCUAUAAUCUUCCUGUAACCAGUUGUUAUUUUGGUUCUUUUUCAGUUCUGGGAGUGAUUUUUAACCACUCCACUAUAUGUUGUAGCAAAAACAACCUGCUGGAGGAACUCAGAAAGUCAACCAACAUUUGUGGGGGAAAGGAAUUGUCAAAUUUUCAGGUCAAAACCAUGCAUCCUACAUUAGGGCGCAGGAUAUCCACCUGAAACAUUAGCAAUUCAUUUCCCUUGGAUGAUACUGAUUAGCCCAUUGUGUUUUUCCAGCAGAUUGUAUGUUGCUCUGUACUCCACUCUCUGCAGUCUCCAGUGUCACCAGUAUUACUUCAUAGGAUGUAAAAUUCCAUCCUGAGAUCCUUUCACCCUCCUUUAAAUCUUUAACCCGUUCCCUUUGACUAAGUGUUUGGUCAUCAAUCUUAACAUCACUUUCCAAUGGCUGUGUGUUAAAUUUUGUUUGGUGAUGCUCCUGUGAAACACCCUGUGACAAUUUACAGUAUGUAGUUGCUUUAUAUAAAAUGUAUGAUGUUGAUGUACUUUAUUUGAGCUUUAAUAGGUAUUUCUAAAAUUGUAGCCUGUUUGAAAGCAGAUGUUACAAUAAACUUUGUUUAUAUAAAUGAUGUAUUGCAAUUACUACAAAACGAUGAACCACACAACCCAAUUAUACUUGAAGCUUUGGAAAGGAUUGUCCUCAGUUAGCUAUACUGUGUUUUCUAAUAGUAAGUGAACACAUUUACUGCAUUUCUAAAUAUAUUGAUUUCACCAUCAUUUUUCUUUAUUCCCAGCAAUGUCCAAAAUGUCCAAAGAAAUAUAAAAAUUUGAAAAGAAAAUUAGAGUCUUGAUAAUGAGAACUACCAAAGAAAAAUCCAGAGUGGCAUGGGGAGGAUGGAAUGUGUUGUUCAUGGAUAUAUGUACACUCAAAAGAAAAUAAAUGAGACAUAAAAUUGAAGAUAAACAUGAUUGAACAUAAUUAAAGACAAAUACAUUUGUGCUUUUUUGUAAGAUGACGAUGAAAGAGUGGAAAAUAUGAUACAUAUAGAUAAAUUAGCUCCUAUGAUAAUAUAUGGCUGAGAAAGUCAGUGGCAAUUUCAAAACCAGUGAUAGUGGGAUGUGGAUAUAUUUAGUUGCUUUUUGGGUCUGUCAUUUUUGAUCGUGUUUUUACAAUCUUUCACAAGUCUGUGUUCUUUCAGGCUUUACAAUUCCAUUUUGUUCAGCAAGUUCCCACUGUUUCUAUCUGCGGAAUGCUUCAUUCAACAAGUGUGCAAGAAUUCCAUCCUGUGAUAAAAGCUACUCAGCCAUUAAGAAAUAACUGGUUAUGUCAAAUCAUUUUUGGGUCCUUCAGAGGAGUGGAUCAGCUCCAGUGAUUACCGAUUGGAGUUCAAUUCUCGCUGCCAUCUGUAAGGUGUUUCUACAUUUUCCUCUUGACCAUGCCGGUUUGCUCCAGGAGCUCUGUUUUUCUCCCACGUUCCAAAGGAGUAUGAUUAAGGUUAACGAGUUGUUGGCUUGCUACACUUGUGAUAGAAGUGUGGUGACACUUGCAGUCUGCCCAUAGUACAAUCCUCGGAUUAUUUUAAUCAUUGAUACAGAACGAUGCAUUUUACUGCAUGUUUCAAGGAACAUGUGAUAAAUAAAGCUAAUUUUUAAUUUUCAGAUAAAUUAAAUUCUGAAGUUUGAAAAUAUACAGAAUGAGGAGGUUGUGUGUAUUAAUACUAGGCAUAAAACAACUAUGU